This 89-nucleotide transfer RNA is filed under the name Thermoproteus sp. CP80. RNAcentral describes it as "tRNA-Ala". It matches the Rfam family "tRNA". Rfam says of the family: Transfer RNA (tRNA) molecules are approximately 80 nucleotides in length. Their secondary structure includes four short double-helical elements and three loops (D, anti-codon, and T loops). Further hydrogen bonds mediate the characteristic L-shaped molecular structure. tRNAs have two regions of fundamental functional importance: the anti-codon, which is responsible for specific mRNA codon recognition, and the 3' end, to which the tRNAs corresponding amino acid is attached (by aminoacyl-tRNA synthetases). tRNAs cope with the degeneracy of the genetic code in two manners: having more than one tRNA (with a specific anti-codon) for a particular amino acid; and 'wobble' base-pairing, i.e. permitting non-standard base-pairing at the 3rd anti-codon position. RNAcentral also lists the same sequence under 1 other name. The record is from RNAcentral. Lineage: Archaea; Thermoproteati; Thermoproteota; Thermoprotei; Thermoproteales; Thermoproteaceae.
GGGCCGGUAGUCUAGCGGAAGGAUUGAAAGCAUUCCCUUAGGCCCGCUUGGCGCGCGGGAGAUCCCGGGUUCAAAUCCCGGCCGGUCCA